This 292-nucleotide ribosomal RNA is filed under the name uncultured eukaryote. RNAcentral describes it as "partial 18S ribosomal RNA". It matches the Rfam family "Eukaryotic small subunit ribosomal RNA", at positions 6 to 299 of the family's 1831-position model. The record is from RNAcentral.
GGUUGAUCCUGCCAGUAGUCAUAUGCUUGUCUCAAAGAUUAAGCCAUGCAUGUCUAAGUAUAAGCAACUUGUACAGUGAAACUGCGAAUGGCUCAUUAAAUCAGUUAUAGUUUAUUUGAUGGUUACUUUCCACAUGGAUAACUGUGGUAAUUCUAGAGCUAAUACAUGCAACAAAAGCCCAGACUUCUGGAAUGGGUGUAUUUAUUAGAUUCAAAGCCAAUGGCCUUCGGGUCUUGUGGUGAUUCAUAAUAACUUGUCGAAUCGUAUGCCCUUGCGGCGACGAUGCUUCAUU